RNAcentral lists this ribosomal RNA (112 nucleotides) under uncultured bacterium. RNAcentral describes it as "partial 16S ribosomal RNA". It matches the Rfam family "Bacterial small subunit ribosomal RNA", at positions 1373 to 1482 of the family's 1533-position model. The record is from RNAcentral.
CCCGGGCCUUGUACACACCGCCCGUCACACCAUGGGAGUUGGUUUUACCCGAAGCCGGUGCGCGAACCUGAAAGGGACGCAGCCGACCACGGUAAGGUCAGCGACUGGGGUG